CUUUUAAAUAAAGCGCCAGACCUUACUUAAGGUGACGAGGAAAGAAUUUAUCGAAGAUUUUCGGCGGAUAAUUCUAGGAUCUGCAUUCUAUAGAGUUCUGACAAAAUUAAGUAGCAAUACUUUUGCCAAAACAGAAUUCAGGCAGAACA
This 149-nucleotide non-coding RNA is filed under the name Enterococcus sp. Its description in RNAcentral is "GlcN6P sequence". It matches the Rfam family "glmS glucosamine-6-phosphate activated ribozyme aptamer". From Rfam's summary of the family: This entry contains a glucosamine-6-phosphate activated ribozyme that is found in the mRNA for GlmS. The record is from RNAcentral. Lineage: Bacteria; Bacillati; Bacillota; Bacilli; Lactobacillales; Enterococcaceae.